Molecule: ribosomal RNA, 344 nt
Filed under: Escherichia coli
Lineage: Bacteria; Pseudomonadati; Pseudomonadota; Gammaproteobacteria; Enterobacterales; Enterobacteriaceae
Description: partial 23S ribosomal RNA
Rfam family: Bacterial large subunit ribosomal RNA
Source: RNAcentral
AUAGGCCCAAGCGACUGUUUAUCAAAAACACAGGUCUCUGCUAAACCGUAAGGUGAUGUAUAGGGGCUGACGCCUGCCCGGUGCUGGAAGGUUAAGAGGAGUGGUUAGCUUCUGCGAAGCUACGAAUCGAAGCCCCAGUAAACGGCGGCCGUAACUAUAACGGUCCUAAGGUAGCGAAAUUCCUUGUCGGGUAAGUUCCGACCCGCACGAAAGGCGUAACGAUUUGGGCACUGUCUCAACGAGAGACUCGGUGAAAUCAUAGUACCUGUGAAGAUGCAGGUUACCCGCGACAGGACGGAAAGACCCCGUGGAGCUUUACUGUAGCCUGAUAUUGAAAUUCGGCA